This 497-nucleotide ribosomal RNA is filed under the name uncultured bacterium. RNAcentral describes it as "partial 16S ribosomal RNA". It matches the Rfam family "Bacterial small subunit ribosomal RNA", at positions 28 to 507 of the family's 1533-position model. The record is from RNAcentral.
GACGAACGCUGGCGGCGUGCCUAAUACAUGCAAGUAGAACGCUGAAGAGAGGAGCUUGCUCUUCUUGGAUGAGUUGCGAACGGGCGAGUAACGCGUAGGUAACCUGCCUUGUAGCGGGGGAUAACUAUUGGAAACGAUAGCUAAUACCGCAUAACAAUGGAUGACACAUGUCAUUUAUUUGAAAGGGGCAAUUGCUCCACUACAAGAUGGACCUGCGUUGUAUUAGCUAGUAGGUGAGGUAAUGGCUCACCUAGGCGACGAUACAUAGCCGACCUGAGAGGGUGAUCGGCCACACUGGGACUGAGACACGGCCCAGACUCCUACGGGAGGCAGCAGUAGGGAAUCUUCGGCAAUGGGGGCAACCCUGACCGAGCAACGCCGCGUGAGUGAAGAAGGGUUUCGGAUCGUAAAGCUCUGUUGUAAGUCAAGAACGGGUGUGAGAGUGGAAAGUUCACACUGUGACGGUAGCUUACCAGAAAGGGACGGCUAACUACGUG